UCAGGGAACACGGGCGUGGCAGAGGUUGACCUAUCAAAUGGAAGCUGUCUUUUCCCAGCUCUGAGAGGACCGCCUGACUCUUGAGGAGACUCGGAUGGUCUGAGCGUUAGAAAGCUCGUCCAAUCAAUCCCAACCCCGAGUUCUGGAGCAGCUAAGCCUCUAUCCCAGCUUCAUAAAUGUGUGGAUUUUUUUGUUUUUGUUUUUGUUUGUUUGUUUUGACAUAGUACAAAUGUGGAAUUAAAACUCCAGGACCAAUCCAAUUACACACACUACUGGCUUACAGCCUGAGCUGCCAUAGCAAAUAGGACCUUGGCAAAGACAGGCAACCUCAGGUGGCCUUGGCUGUGGUGAGUGUACCGCAGAAAGACAAGUAGCCGUACUUGUUCUGAGGCACCAGGCCGUAAUUCUCAUGGUUGAACCAUCGAUUCAUCUGUCGUUCCAUCAUCCACUUGACGACCGUGCGGGGCAGGACAUUCCGGAGCAUGGAGCUAAAUCUAGUGUGGAACACCAUGUCCCAAGGGUAGCCAUCUUCAGAGAUUCGGCUCAAUACCCAGGAACCAUGUCUGGUGCUGACAAACACCUGCUAUGUCCCGACAAGGGCUACCUGGUAACUCGCACUGAUAGAGGUCCAAAAUCACUGACCUGAGCACAUGCAGUGCCCUCGGAUGGCUCUUUACUUGGCUGAUGGCAAAGUACAAGAUAAGCAAAGGCAUCUCACCUGCGCGGCCCUCUUACUCAGUUCAGAGGCAAUGUCUGCGGCGGAGUUUCCUAUUCCAACCACUAGGAUGCGUUUCCCCUCAUACCCCACUGGGUGCUUGUAUUGGCGGCUAUGGAAAUACUGGCCUUGGAACCUCUCGAUACCUUCGGGAGGAAGAAGAGAUCAAAAGGAGAGUGUCUUGGGACAAAAAGAAGAGCCUGGAAUUCUAAUUGUCCUUCAACAGAAAAAUGCUUUAAUGCCAAA
RNAcentral lists this long non-coding RNA (961 nucleotides) under Rattus norvegicus (Norway rat). RNAcentral describes it as "long non-coding RNA NONRATT008398". The record is from RNAcentral. Lineage: Eukaryota; Metazoa; Chordata; Mammalia; Rodentia; Muridae.